Molecule: long non-coding RNA, 360 nt
Organism: Erinaceus europaeus (western European hedgehog)
Lineage: Eukaryota; Metazoa; Chordata; Mammalia; Eulipotyphla; Erinaceidae
Exons: 2
Source: RefSeq, a predicted model, not a curated record
GUUCAAUCCUACUCACUAUAACACCUGUCUUUCUCCCUCAAGGAGUCAACUUGGAGUUAUAAAACUUCAGUGACAGCAGUAAAAGAAGAAGGAUGAGAGAUAAGAUUUGAUUAAGAAAGAAGAAUCAAUGAGCAAUAAGAAGGCUAUUUUAUAUAUUAGAACUUCUAGUUAUGAAAGAACUCACAGAAGGAAAGAUCCCAGAGGGUAUGACAAGAAAAUCAUGAAAAAGUUACUAGCUAAUCAUCAUAGACAAGAGUUGCAAAAUCAAUAGAAGGCUCUUGUCUCUGUAUUGGAGAAUAGGGCAACAGUUACUAUAGAGCAACAAGAUGAAUAACAGAAUAAAAUAUAAAUUUAAAAUAA